UCUCCUGGAAAACGGGUGGUAAUACCGGAUGCUCCGCUCCAUCGCAUGGUGGGGUGGGAAAUGCUUUUGCGGCAUGGGAUGGGGUCGCGUCCUAUCAGCUUGUUGGCGGGGUGAUGGCCCACCAAGGCGUUGACGGGUAGCCGGCCUGAGAGGGUGACCGGCCACAUUGGGACUGAGAUACGGCCCAGACUCCUACGGGAGGCAGCAGUGGGGAAUAUUGCACAAUGGGCGCAAGCCUGAUGCAGCGACGCCGCGUGCGGGAUGGAGGCCUUCGGGUUGUAAACCGCUUUUGUUCAAGGGCAAGGCACGGUUUCGGCCGUGUUGAGUGGAUUGUUCGAAUAAGCACCGGCUAACUACGUGCCAGCAGCCGCGGUAAUACGUAGGGUGCGAGCGUUAUCCGGAUUUAUUGGGCGUAAAGGGCUCGUAGGCGGUUCGUCGCGUCCGGUGUGAAAGUCCAUCGCCUAACGGUGGAUCUGCGCCGGGUACGGGCGGGCUGGAGUGCGGUAGGGGAGACUGGAAUUCCCGGUGUAACGGUGGAAUGUGUAGAUAUCGAAAAAAAACA
This 562-nucleotide ribosomal RNA is filed under the name Bifidobacterium animalis subsp. lactis. RNAcentral describes it as "bacterial SSU rRNA". It matches the Rfam family "Bacterial small subunit ribosomal RNA", at positions 146 to 708 of the family's 1533-position model. The record is from RNAcentral. Lineage: Bacteria; Bacillati; Actinomycetota; Actinomycetes; Bifidobacteriales; Bifidobacteriaceae.